GACGAACGCUGGCGGCGUGCCUAAUACUUGCAAGUCGAACGAGAGCGACCGGUGCUUGCACUGGUCAAUCUAGUGGCGAACGGGUGAGUAACACGUGGGUAACCUGCCCAUCAGAGGGGGAUAACAUCCGGAAACGGAUGCUAAAACCGCAUAGGUCUUCGAACCGCAUGGUUUGAAGAGGAAAAGAGGCGCAAGCUUCUGCUGAUGGAUGGACCCGCGGUGCAUUAGCUAGUUGGUGAGGUAACGGCUCACCAAGGCCGUGAUGCAUAGCCGACCUGAGAGGGUGAUCGGCCACAUUGGGACUGAGACACGGCCCAAACUCCUACGGGAGGCAGCAGUAGGGAAUCUUCCGCAAUGGACGCAAGUCUGACGGAGCAACGCCGCGUGAGUGAAGAAGGUUUUCGGAUCGUAAAACUCUGUUGUUAGAGAAGAACAAGUGCUAGAGUAACUGUUAGCGCCUUGACGGUAUCUAACCAGAAAGCCACGGCUAACUACGUG
Molecule: ribosomal RNA, 498 nt
Filed under: uncultured bacterium
Lineage: Bacteria
Description: partial 16S ribosomal RNA
Rfam family: Bacterial small subunit ribosomal RNA
Source: RNAcentral